UACGGGGGGGGCAAGCGUUGUUCGGAAUUACUGGGCGUAAAGGGCUCGUAGGUGGCCAACUAAGUCAGACGUGAAAUCCCUCGGCUUAACCGGGGAACUGCGUCUGAUACUGGAUGGCUUGAGUUUGGGAGAGGGACGCGGAAUUCCAGGUGUAGCGGUGAAAUGCGUAGAUAUCUGGAGGAACACCGGUGGCGAAGGCGGCGUCCUGGACCAAUACUGACGCUGAGGAGCGAAAGCCAGGGGAGCAAACGGG
This 253-nucleotide ribosomal RNA is filed under the name uncultured bacterium. RNAcentral describes it as "partial 16S ribosomal RNA". It matches the Rfam family "Bacterial small subunit ribosomal RNA", at positions 524 to 776 of the family's 1533-position model. The record is from RNAcentral.